This 253-nucleotide ribosomal RNA is filed under the name uncultured bacterium. Its description in RNAcentral is "partial 16S ribosomal RNA". It matches the Rfam family "Bacterial small subunit ribosomal RNA", at positions 524 to 776 of the family's 1533-position model. The record is from RNAcentral.
UACGUAGGGAGCAAGCGUUGUUCGGAUUUACUGGGCGUAAAGGGCGCGUAGGCGGCGCGGUAAGUCACUUGUGAAAUCUCUGAGCUUAGCUCAGAACGGCCAAGUGAUACUGCAGUGCUAGAGUGCAGAAGGGGCAAUCGGAAUUCUUGGUGUAGCGGUGAAAUGCGUAGAUAUCAAGAGGAACACCUGAGGUGAAGACGGGUUGCUAGGCUGACACUGACGCUGAGGCGCGAAAGCCAGGGGAGCAAACGGG